GAUGAACGCUGGCGGCGCGCCUAAUUCAUGCAAGUCGAGCGAACAGACUAGGAGCUUGCUCCUCUGUAGUUAGCGGCGGACGGGUCAGUAACACGUGGAUAACCUACCUAUAAAACUGGGAUAACUUCGGCAAACCGACGCUAUAACCGGAUAAUACAUUGAACCGCAUGGUUCAAUAGUGAAAGACGCUUUUGCUGUCACUUAUAGAUGGAUCCGCGCCGCAUUAGCUAGUUGGUAAGGUAACGGCUUACCAACGCAACGAUGAGUAGCCGACCUGAGAGGGUGACCGGCCACACUGGAACUGAGCGUCGGUCCAGACUCCAACGGGAGUCAGCAGCAGGGAAUCUUCCGCAAUGGUCGAAAGCUUGACGGUGGAACGCGGAAUGAGUGAUGAAGUUCUUCGGAUCGUAAAACUCUGUUAUUAGGGAAGAACAAAGGUGUAAUUGCCUAUGCACAUCUUGACGAUACCUAGGCAGAAAGCUACGGCUAACUAGGUG
This 497-nucleotide ribosomal RNA is filed under the name uncultured bacterium. RNAcentral describes it as "partial 16S ribosomal RNA". It matches the Rfam family "Bacterial small subunit ribosomal RNA", at positions 28 to 507 of the family's 1533-position model. The record is from RNAcentral.